Molecule: ribosomal RNA, 497 nt
Filed under: uncultured bacterium
Lineage: Bacteria
Description: partial 16S ribosomal RNA
Rfam family: Bacterial small subunit ribosomal RNA
Source: RNAcentral
GAUGAACGCUGGCGGCGUGCCUAAUACAUGCAAGUCGAGCGAACAGACGAGGAGCUUGCUCCUCUGACGUUAGCGGCGGACGGGUGAGUAACACGUGGAUAACCUACCUAUAAGACUGGGAUAACUUCGGGAAACCGGAGCUAAUACCGGAUAAUAUAUUAAACCGCAUGGUUCAAUAGUAAAAGACGGUUUUGCUGUCACUUAUAGAUGGAUCCGCGCCGCAUUAGCUAGUUGGUAAGGUAACGGCUUACCAAGGCAACGAUGCGUAGCCGACCUGAGAGGGUGAUCGGCCACACUGGAACUGAGACACGGUCCAGACUCCUACGGGAGGCAGCAGUAGGGAAUCUUCCGCAAUGGGCGAAAGCCUGACGGAGCAACGCCGCGUGAGUGAUGAAGGUCUUCGGAUCGUAAAACUCUGUUAUUAGGGAAGAACAAAUGUGUAAGUAACUAUGCACGUCUUGACGGUACCUAAUCAGAAAGCCACGGCUAACUACGUG